AAAUGCUUUGCGGCAUUUAGUCCUACUUUAUGUUCCAAGUUCAAAUUCCACUGAGGUCAGCUUGACCUUCAUCCUUUUGGGAUCUAUAAAAUAAGUACCAGCUGACUACUGGGGUUAAUGCAAUUGAUUUAAGCGCCCUCCCCCCACGAACUUGUUGGCCUUGUGCUAAAAUUUGAAACCAGUAUUAUUAGUAUUGCUGUUUUUGCCUGAGAAAAUCUUAAUUUAAUUAACUUAGUCAAAUUAGGAACAAAUGAAGGGAUUGAUGCACAGUAUUGUUAUAGGUGCAGGAGUGUGUGUGUGUGUGUGUGUGUGUGUGUGUGUGUAGUCAUGCAUUGAUUUCUCUAUAGGGAAAACUAGAAGAUGGUGGUGGUGAUAGUCGUGGUGAUAACGAAAAUGUAAAAAGAAUUAGUUUGUGGUGGAACUUCUGAAACAUUUUUCUUUCUAAAUUUCUGAUAAAAUAAAACUACAAUUGUAUUUGAGUGACAUUGUGAGCUGAUAAACAUUGUAAACGAUGUUUAUCCGCCCACUUUUGAAAAUGUCAGCACAUAUUUGACUUUCUGUCUGGGUUUAGCUAAAGAAAUAACAAUAAAAUAAAAUUUUAAACUUCUCCAUGUUUAAAUAUUUUUUGAAAAAA
This is a long non-coding RNA of Octopus sinensis (East Asian common octopus), 634 nucleotides long. RefSeq lists it as uncharacterized. The record is from RefSeq and is a predicted model, not a curated record. Lineage: Eukaryota; Metazoa; Mollusca; Cephalopoda; Octopoda; Octopodidae. The transcript is spliced from 2 exons.